This 484-nucleotide ribosomal RNA is filed under the name uncultured bacterium. RNAcentral describes it as "partial 16S ribosomal RNA". It matches the Rfam family "Bacterial small subunit ribosomal RNA", at positions 30 to 507 of the family's 1533-position model. The record is from RNAcentral.
AUUGAACGCUGGCGGCAGGCCUAACACAUGCAAGUCGAGCGGAUGAAGGGAGCUUGCUCCUGGAUUCAGCGGCGGACGGGUGAGUAAUGCGUAGGAAUCUGCCUGGUAGUGGGGGAUAACGUCCGGAAACGGGCGCUAAUACCGCAUACGUCCUGAGGGAGAAAGUGGGGGAUCUUCGGACCUCACGCUAUCAGAUGAGCCUAGGUCGGAUUAGCUAGUUGGUGGGGUAAAGGCCUACCAAGGCGACGAUCCGUAACUGGUCUGAGAGGAUGAUCAGUCACACUGGAACUGAGACACGGUCCAGACUCCUACGGGAGGCAGCAGUGGGGAAUAUUGGACAAUGGGCGAAAGCCUGAUCCAGCCAUGCCGCGUGUGUGAAGAAGGUCUUCGGAUUGUAAAACACUUUAAGUUGAGAGGAAGGGCAGUAAGUUAAUACCUUGCUGUUGUGACGUUACCAACAGAAUAAGCACCGGCUAACUUCGUG